AGCGCAGUGUGGCCUUGAUCUUCGACACAUCACCGUGGUGGAGCUGGUGGGUGUGUUCCCGACUCUCAUUGGCAGGAUAGGAGCAAAGAUUAUGCCUCCAGCCCUAGCGCUGCAGCUCAGUUUCAUAACCCUUAUAAAGUUGGAGCCAUGGAUUUUAGUCUCUGAAUAAUGAUGUAUUAAAGAAGCAGAAUUCAACAACCAAAAGGCUGUUGCUGCGAAUCCCACUCUACUCCUUCAGUAUGGUGCUAGUGGAUAAGCAUGGCAUGGACAAAGAGCGCUAUGUCUCCCUGGUGAUGCCUGUGGCCCUGUUCAACCUGAUUGACACUUUUCCCUUGAGAAAAGAAGAGAUGGUCCUACAAGCCGAAAUGGGCCAGACCUGUAACACCUGACAUGAUGGUUCCUCUCUUGGCAGUUCCUCUUCAUUGUCUACAUAGUGACGUGCACACGGCAAAGCCUUAAAAAUAUCCUU
Molecule: small RNA, 469 nt
Filed under: Pongo abelii (Sumatran orangutan)
Lineage: Eukaryota; Metazoa; Chordata; Mammalia; Primates; Hominidae
Description: processed transcript
Source: RNAcentral